This 255-nucleotide ribosomal RNA is filed under the name uncultured bacterium. RNAcentral's name for it is "partial 16S ribosomal RNA". It matches the Rfam family "Bacterial small subunit ribosomal RNA", at positions 524 to 776 of the family's 1533-position model. The record is from RNAcentral.
UACGUAGGGUGCGAGCGUUAAUCGGAAUUACUGGGCGUAAAGCGUGCGCAGGCGGUUUUGUAAGCCAGAUGUGAAAUCCCCGGGCUUAACCUGGGAAUGGCAUUUGGGACUGCAAGGCUUGAGUGCGGCAGAGGAGACUGGAAUUCCUGGUGUAGCAGUGAAAUGCGUAGAUAUCAGGAGGAACACCGAUGGCGAAGGCAGGUCUCUGGGCGUGACACUCGACGCUCAUGCACGAAAGCGUGGGGAGCAAACAGG